UACGAAGGGAGCUAGCGUUGUUCGGAAUUACUGGGCGUAAAGGGCGCGUAGGCGGCCGUUUAAGUCAGAUGUGAAAGCCUUGGGCUCAACCUGAGAAUUGCAUUUGAUACUGGACGGCUUGAGAUCGAGAGAGGAAAGUGGAAUUAUGAGUGUAGAGGUGAAAUUCGUAGAUAUUCAUAAGAACACCAGUGGCGAAGGCGACUUUCUGGCUCGAUACUGACGCUAAGGCGCGAAAGCGUGGGGAGCAAAC
RNAcentral lists this ribosomal RNA (250 nucleotides) under uncultured bacterium. Its description in RNAcentral is "partial 16S ribosomal RNA". It matches the Rfam family "Bacterial small subunit ribosomal RNA", at positions 524 to 773 of the family's 1533-position model. RNAcentral also lists the same sequence under 1 other name. The record is from RNAcentral.